GAUGAACGCUGGCGGCGUGCCUAAUACAUGCAAGUCGAGCGAACUGAUGAGGAGCUUGCUCCUCUGACGUUAGCGGCGGACGGGUGAGUAACACGUGGAUAACCUACCUAUAAGACUGGGAUAACUUCGGGAAACCGGAGCUAAUACCGGAUAAUAUAUUGAACCGCAUGGUUCAAUAGUGAAAGACGGUUUUGCUGUCACUUAUAGAUGGAUCCGCGCCGCAUUAGCUAGUUGGUAAGGUAACGGCUUACCAAGGCAACGAUGCGUAGCCGACCUGAGAGGGGGAUCGGCCACACUGGAACUGAGACACGGUCCAGACUCCUACGGGAGGCAGCAGUAGGGAAUCUUCCGCAAUGGGCGAAAGCCUGACGGAGCAACGCCGCGUGAGUGAUGAAGGUCUUCGGAUCGUAAAACUCUGUUAUUAGGGAAGAACAAAUGUGUAAGUAACUAUGCACGUCUUGACGGUACCUAAUCAGAAAGCCACGGCUAACUACGUG
This 497-nucleotide ribosomal RNA is filed under the name uncultured bacterium. RNAcentral describes it as "partial 16S ribosomal RNA". It matches the Rfam family "Bacterial small subunit ribosomal RNA", at positions 28 to 507 of the family's 1533-position model. The record is from RNAcentral.